Cynoglossus semilaevis (tongue sole) is the source of this 1243-nucleotide long non-coding RNA. RefSeq lists it as uncharacterized. NCBI's taxonomy places the organism in Eukaryota, Metazoa, Chordata, Actinopteri, Pleuronectiformes, Cynoglossidae. The transcript is spliced from 3 exons. The record is from RefSeq and is a predicted model, not a curated record.
UGGAGGUUUCACACAGUUUCACCCCAGAGUUCUCAAUCCUGUCAUUCAACAACUUACAUGGAACACGACUGUCACACAGAUGGGUCAGCAUCAGAACUUGUGCUGUUUAGAUGACUACAAGUGAAGAUUUGAUCAGAAUCCUGUGCCCUGAGGGAAUUUUGAAGUCAAGACAAGAAGACAAAAGAGUUUAAUAUACUGUAAUAUACUAUAAGGCCUGAAGACCACACUGGACAAACUGAGGAAUCACCUGUUUUACUUUAAAGGUCCAGACAGACUUCAUACACCAGGAUUCAAAACAACGUUACAGCUGAUCAGAGAUGUCAAGCCCACCUCAAGCAUGUAUAACAAUGGAGGAUAUUCCACUGAACACCACACCGGGGUCGGGGGGCUCAGAGGAUGAAGUCAUGAGCAGCAAGAUGGGGAAAAGGGGUGCAGCGUCCUUCUUUACAGACCAGCACUACAGAAGACUGGCCAUCUGCAGCAUCAUCUGUGGAUGCAGCUGCAUCGGGAUCAAAUCUUUAAUAAACUCAGUAAAGGCAGAGGAGGCCGGAGAUCAAAUAGUCGCAGCAAAGUAUUCGCAACGAGCAAGAAAAUUCGGAAUCAUCUCUAUUUUAACAUGGUUUUUAUGUUUGGCAGCAGUUCCCAUACUGAUGACACUGGGGUCAUAUCUGUUGACCCUGAAAGACUGAGAAACUAUAAUCAGGAAGAUCAAAGCAGCCAAACUUUACUACAUGUAUUCAUAUAUAUAUAUAUAUAUAUAACAUUGAGUAUCAGCAUUUUCUGCUUACUUACCUUGUCAUUUUAUACUUCUUCUUUUUACCAGGCCUUGUUUCUAACAAAGAAAAUAGUAUUAAACCACACUGCAAUUUUCCUACAAGCUGAAAUAUUUAUUUUAUUAACAUAUACACAAUUUAAACUAUAGCAGUACAUAGAAAACAUGACAUGUAUAAAUGGUCAUUUCCCAGUACACAGCCAGUCCCUAAGAUUUAAUUCAAAGAUCAUUUUUAAAUUUAACAAAAGAGAACCUCUUGUUGACAAAGGACUGGCUCUGUACAGGAAAUGUGACGCCACGUCUGGGACGGAGGCAGUGCUUCCAACGUGCAGCUCUUGUGCCAAGGUUAUCUUGGCAUAAUUGCCCUGUUUACAUAUUAGGUUUAAUAAUGUCAAAUGUAUAUAUGCUGUACUUUUAUACAAAACAUUUAACAGAAACAAUUUUAUAAUAAAAAAACAAUCAUUUGUGCUA